GACGAACGCUGGCGGCGUGCUUAACACAUGCAAGUCGAACGGAAAGGCCCUGCUUUUGUGGGGUGCUCGAGUGGCGAACGGGUGAGUAACACGUGAGUAACCUGCCCUUGACUUUGGGAUAACUUCAGGAAACUGGGGCUAAUACCGGAUAGGAGCUCCUGCUGCAUGGUGGGGGUUGGAAAGUUUCGGCGGUUGGGGAUGGACUCGCGGCUUAUCAGCUUGUUGGUGGGGUAGUGGCUUACCAAGGCUUUGACGGGUAGCCGGCCUGAGAGGGUGACCGGCCACAUUGGGACUGAGAUACGGCCCAGCCUCCUACGGGAGGCAGCAGUGGGGAAUAUUGCACAAUGGGCGGAAGCCUGAUGCAGCAACGCCGCGUGCGGGAUGACGGCCUUCGGGUUGUAAACCGCUUUCGCCUGUGACGAAGCGUGAGUGACGGUAAUGGGUAAAGAAGCACCGGCUAGCUACGUG
RNAcentral lists this ribosomal RNA (468 nucleotides) under uncultured bacterium. RNAcentral describes it as "partial 16S ribosomal RNA". It matches the Rfam family "Bacterial small subunit ribosomal RNA", at positions 28 to 507 of the family's 1533-position model. The record is from RNAcentral.